UACGAAGGUUGCAAGCGUUACUCGGAAUUACUAGGCGUAAAGGGUAGGUAGGUGGUUUGGUAAGUCUAUUGUGAAAGCUCCCGGCUCAACUGGGAGAGGCCAAUGGAUGCUACCAGGCUUGAGUAUAGGAGAGGUUACUGGAAUUCCCGGUGUAGCGGUGAAAUGCGCAGAUAUCGGGAGGAACACCAAUGGCGAAAGCAGGUAACUGGACUAUUACUGACACUCAACUACGAAAGCUAGGGGAGCAAACAGG
Molecule: ribosomal RNA, 253 nt
Filed under: uncultured bacterium
Lineage: Bacteria
Description: partial 16S ribosomal RNA
Rfam family: Bacterial small subunit ribosomal RNA
Source: RNAcentral